UACGUAGGGUGCGCGCGUUAAUCGGAAUUACUGGGCGUAAAGCGUGCGCAGGCGGUUCGUUGUGUCGGUGGUGAAAUCCCCGGGCUUAACCUGGGAAUGGCCAUGGAAACUGGCGAACUGGAGUGCGGCAGAGGGGGGUGGAAUUCCGCGUGUAGCAGUGAAAUGCGUAGAGAUGCGGAGGAACACCGAUGGCGAAGGCAGCCCCCUGGGCUAGCACUGACGCUCAGGCACGAAAGCGUGGGGAGCAAACAGG
Molecule: ribosomal RNA, 253 nt
Filed under: uncultured bacterium
Lineage: Bacteria
Description: partial 16S ribosomal RNA
Rfam family: Bacterial small subunit ribosomal RNA
Source: RNAcentral